GUGGUUGGCGGUGACCACCAGCGUCGGAAAAUCGAAGAAAAACAGGCAAAAUAGAGGUUUCUUCCGUAACAAAAUCCGACGACUCUGAUCACCGACGUGCGUGCACACUGGCACGGAAAGAAAAGGGGAGAAGAGAGGAAGGAGGAGGAGGCUCACCUUCGACGUCGGUGAGGCUUUCCGACGAGAAAUUGGACGGGCA
RNAcentral lists this long non-coding RNA (199 nucleotides) under Elaeis guineensis (African oil palm). Its description in RNAcentral is "long non-coding RNA (EGUI_LNC015347)". The record is from RNAcentral. Lineage: Eukaryota; Viridiplantae; Streptophyta; Magnoliopsida; Arecales; Arecaceae.